This is a non-coding RNA of Prionailurus viverrinus (fishing cat), 548 nucleotides long. NCBI's taxonomy places the organism in Eukaryota, Metazoa, Chordata, Mammalia, Carnivora, Felidae. The record is from the annotation of a RefSeq genome assembly.
GUGGGUCCCAUUUGCAUGAGCAGCCCCUCCUUUUGAGCUCUGUGGACUGGGGAUAAGAGAGGCCCAAAGCAGCCCAGCCCUGGCUCUGCGGUCUAGGAAGGGCGUGUGUCACCAUGGCCUGGAUCCCCGUCCUCGUCGUGCUCCUCUGCCACUGCACAGGUUCCCUGUCCCAGCCUGUCGUGACUCAGCCAGCCUCCCUCUCUGCAUCUCUGGGAACAACAGCCAGACUCACCUGCACUCUGAGCAAGGACAUCAAUGUUGGAAGCUAUAGCAUAUACUGGUACCAACAGAAUCCAGGGAGCCCUCCCCGGUAUCUCCUGUACUACUACUCAGACUCCAGUACACAGUUGGGACCUGGGGUCCCCACCCGCUUCUCUGGGUCCAAAGAUGCCUCGGCCAAUGCAGGGCUUCUGCUCAUCUCUGGGCUGCAGCCUGAGGACGAGGCUGACUAUUACUGUGCAAUCGGGCACAGUAGUGCUGAGAUUGUUUUCCCACCUGGGACCCCUUCAGUACUGCUUUCAGAUGGCUUAGGGAAGGAGCCAGCCUAG